AGUCACUGACAUUAGAUACCCGGGUAGUCCCAGCCGUAAACGAUGUGCGUUAGGUGUAUCGACGACCACGAGUUGUCGAGGUGCCGAAGGGAAACCGUGAAACGUACCGCCUGGGAAGUACGGUCGCAAGGCUGAAACUUAGAGGAAUUGGCGGGGGAGCACCACAACAGGUGGAGCCUGCGGUUUAAUUGGACUCAACGCCGGGAAUCUCACCGGAUAGGACAGCGGAAUGAUUGCCGGGCUGAAGACUCUGCAUGACUAGCUG
Molecule: ribosomal RNA, 265 nt
Filed under: uncultured archaeon
Lineage: Archaea
Description: partial 16S ribosomal RNA
Rfam family: Archaeal small subunit ribosomal RNA
Source: RNAcentral